RNAcentral lists this ribosomal RNA (419 nucleotides) under uncultured bacterium. RNAcentral describes it as "bacterial SSU rRNA". It matches the Rfam family "Bacterial small subunit ribosomal RNA", at positions 356 to 774 of the family's 1533-position model. The record is from RNAcentral.
AAGGAAUAUUGCUCAAUGGGAGAAAUCCUGAAGCAGCAACGCCGCGUGGAGGAUGAAGGGUCUAUGACUUGUAAACUCCUGUAAAGAAGGAAAAAAUUCCCAUUUGAUGGGAGAUGAUGGUACUUCUGGAGUAAGCCCCGGCUAACUACGUGCCAGCAGCCGCGGUAAUACGUAGGGAGCAAGCGUUGUUCGGAUUUACUGGGCGUAAAGGGCGCGUAGGCGGCGCGGUAAGUCACUUGUGAAAUCUCUGAGCUUAACUCAGAACGGCCAAGUGAUACUGCUGUGCUAGAGUGCGGAAGAGGCAACCGGAAUUCUUGGUGUAGCGGUGAAAUGCGUAGAUAUCAAGAGGAACACCUGAGGCGAAGGCGGGUUGCUGAGCCGACACUGACGCUGAUGCGCGAAAGCCAGGGGAGCAAACG